Molecule: long non-coding RNA, 1808 nt
Filed under: Homo sapiens (human)
Lineage: Eukaryota; Metazoa; Chordata; Mammalia; Primates; Hominidae
Description: ghrelin opposite strand/antisense RNA, transcript variant 7 (GHRLOS)
Rfam family: Ghrelin opposite strand RNA conserved region (bases 240-309)
Source: RNAcentral
ACAUGGAAGUCUCCAAGCCUGUGCCAUCCACCUGCCAAGGAAAAGCACAAGGCAGUAGAGCGAGGGAAGCUGCACUGGCUGAGAGGCUGUGGAACCGGAUGAAAAAGCAGCCCCUGAGUCCUGUGGCGUUGGCUCAUACAGUUUGAACAUUUAUUCGCCUCCUGAGCUUGUACAACAGUCGUGGGAGUUGCUGCAGAAGCAAGCGAAAAGCCAGAUGAGCGCUUCUAAACUUAGAGAGAGGGAGAGCGCCUCAUCUCUUCCAUUUUCCAGGUAUUCCUGAGAUGAUUUAUUGGAGCUCAAAGCUUUGGGCAAAUGCGGGGUGGCUGAUCACCUGGCAGACAUCUUAGGAAACAGGAGCACCGGUCUGGGAAACUGCUGGCCUGGCCUAACACCUGGCGCUGUGGUGCAGGAGGGCAGCCACUGAGGAUUCUUGAGGAGAGAGAGACCAUAGAAUGAAUGAAAGAGUUGGAAAGACUUUAAAGCUCUGGGAGGCUGAAUCCUUUAUUUCGCUGGAAGAAAAACUGAAUGCCAAGAGGGCCUCACUUUCCCCAAAGCUAUACAGCCAUCAGGGGCAAUGCUGGGAUUCCCCCAUGGAUCUCUUGACUCCUAAUACAGUGCUCUUUCUGAUAUGCCAUCUGGCUCCAUAAUGAACAUUGUGUUCCAGGAAAAUCAGUCUGCGCUGAACAGGAUGGAAUUGGGGCAGGACGUCCAGUGAGGAGGACAUUGAGGCAGUAGAGCAGUUGAUUGCCGAAUGACCACCUACCCUGACUUAAAAGAUCAACCUCAGGGAGGAUUGGAGCUUUCUAGAGUCUCUUGGGACAGCAGAAGCACAGGCCGGGUUGGACUGAAUCUUUAAGUGGACAUGAGGGACAAAGUACCUCCUGUUGGUAAACAUCUCACCACCAACCCACUGUGGUGGCUAAAAUCCCACCUUUAGUCCCAGCAACAUAUGAGCAUGUCACCAGGAGGUCUUCACAGGCCUGUCUGCCACCUGAGUGUAGACAUCUUUUGGCCCUGGAGCCCAGAGAGGCUGAAUGUGGAGAGGGUGGAGAGAGGUCUGUAGUCCUCAGAGAAGACUUGCAGCUUUUUCAGAGCCACCAACCCAUAAAAAAAAAAAUCCCCAAACAGAAAAAUCCUAACUGUGGUGACCAGGUACCUCCUGAGACAUGAAGCCUCCACUUACCUGGACCCUGGAGGCCUCUCCGGGCACAGCUGCCAAUGUUGAUCUUAGAUAAGACCACCAGCAAGUAAACAUCCACUGUGCAAAGCUGUGUUAUCUUUGGGGAACUGAAAUGUCCCCUGGGAGUUGGAAACUCCCCUAGCCACAUACCACAGAGUUGAGGAAGGAAGAGCUGAUGGACGGAAGAACCAUGGCGGGAGGAGUCAUCCGGAAGCUACCUCGCUGCCCUGUCAGUUACGGAACAGAGGAGAGAUGCCGGCUGGAGGACACAGCAAAUUUGAACCAAGAGGAGCUUGGAGGAAGCCCGAGCGACCUGGAGGGGACUGGCUGACCUUCCUCAUUCUUUUCAAGUGUGAAUAAUAACCAAGCCCAGUUUGGCAACUCCUUGAGGGUGAGGACGAAGCCCCAUUCUCCUUUUUGGAACUUGGUGGGGCUCAGGAAGCAGGUUCUCUCCAGUCGGUGGCUUUCCUUUCUGUUGCGGGUCUCUUGAGGGCCUGCCUUCAUGAAGGCACAUGAGUGACUCAUCAUUUGUGAAUUAAUUGCUAUAUGUGAAGGGCAUCUGAGAACAAAUUAUCUUCAUAGACUUUUCAUUAUAAUUUUAUUUGUACUGAAAAAAAAAAAAAAAAAA